UUACUGCGAAGGGGGGACGGAGAAGGCUAUGUUGGCCGGGCGACGGUUGUCCCGGUUUAAGCGUGUAGGCUGGUUUUCCAGGCAAAUCCGGAAAAUCAAGGCUGAGGCGUGAUGACGAGGCACUACGGUGCUGAAGCAACAAAUGCCCUGCUUCCAGGAAAAGCCUCUAAGCAUCAGGUAACAUCAAAUCGUACCCCAAACCGACACAGGUGGUCAGGUAGAGAAUACCAAGGCGCUUGAGAGAACUCGGGUGAAGGAACUAGGCAAAAUGGUGCCGUAACUUCGGGAGAAGGCACGCUGAUAUGUAGGUGAAGCGACUUGCUCGUGGAGCUGAAAUCAGCCGAAGAUACCAGCUGGCUGCAACUGUUUAUUAAAAACACAGCACUGUGCAAACACGAAAGUGGACGUAUACGGUGUGACGCCUCCCCGGUGCCGGAAGGUUAAUUGAUGGGGUCAGCGCAAGCGAAGCUCUUGAUCGAAGCCCCGGUAAACGGCGGCCGUAACAAUAACGGUCCUAAGGUAGCGAAAUUCCUUGUCGGGUAAGUUCCGACCUGCACGAAUGGCGUAAUGAUGGCCAGGCUGUCUCCACCCGAGACUCAGUGAAAUUGAACUCGCUGUGAAGAUGCAGUGUACCCGCGGCAAGACGGAAAGACCCCGUGAACCUUUACUAUAGCUUGACACUGAACAUUGAGCCUUGAUGUGUAGGAUAGGUGGGAGGCUUUGAAGUGUGGACGCCAGUCUGCAUGGAGCCGACCUUGAAAUACCACCCUUUAAUGUUUGAUGUUCUAACGUGGACCCGUGAUCCGGGUUGCGGACAGUGUCUGGUGGGUAGUUUGACUGGGGCGGUCUCCUCCUAAAGAGUAACGGAGGAGCACGAAGGUUGGCUAAUCCUGGUCGGACAUCAGGAGGUUAGUGCAAUGGCAUAAGCCAGCUUGACUGCGAGCGUGACGGCGCGAGCAGGUGCGAAAGCAGGUCAUAGUGAUCCGGUGGUUCUGAAUGGAAGGGCCAUCGCUCAACGGAUAAAAGGUACUCCGGGGAUAACAGGCUGAUACCGCCCAAGAGUUCAUAUCGACGGCGGUGUUUGGCACCUCGAUGUCGGCUCAUCACAUCCUGGAGCUGAAGUAGGUCCCAAGGGUAUGGCUGUUCGCCAUUUAAAGUGGUACGCGAGCUGGGUUUAGAACGUCGUGAGACAGUUCGGUCCCUAUCUGCCGUGGGCGCUGGAGAACUGAGGGGGGCUGCUCCUAGUACGAGAGGACCGGAGUGGACGCAUCACUGGUGUUCGGGUUGUCAUGCCAAUGGCACUGCCCGGUAGCUAAAUGCGGAAGAGAUAAGUGCUGAAAGCAUCUAAGCACGAAACUUGCCCCGAGAUGAGUUCUCCCUGACUCCUUGAGAGUCCUGAAGGAACGUUGAAGACGACGACGUUGAUAGGCCGGGUGUGUAAGCGCAGCGAUGCGUUGAGCUAACCGGUACUAAUGAACCGUGAGGCUUAACCG
Molecule: ribosomal RNA, 1493 nt
Filed under: metagenome
Description: bacterial LSU rRNA
Rfam family: Bacterial large subunit ribosomal RNA
Source: RNAcentral